UACAGAGGUCCCGAGCGUUGUUCGGAUUCACUGGGCGUAAAGGGUGCGCAGGCGGGUUGGUAAGUUCGAUGUGAAAGCCCCGGGCUUAACCCGGGAACGGCAUUGGAUACUACUGGUCUGGAGGAUUGGAGGGGGGACUGGAAUUCUUGGUGUAGCAGUGAAAUGCGUAGAUAUCAAGAGGAACACCAGUGGCGAAGGCGAGUCCCUGGACAAUACCUGACACUGAGGCACGAAAGCCGGGGGAGCAAACAGG
This 253-nucleotide ribosomal RNA is filed under the name uncultured bacterium. Its description in RNAcentral is "partial 16S ribosomal RNA". It matches the Rfam family "Bacterial small subunit ribosomal RNA", at positions 524 to 776 of the family's 1533-position model. The record is from RNAcentral.